Non-coding RNA from Ictidomys tridecemlineatus (thirteen-lined ground squirrel), 1854 nucleotides. The record is from RefSeq and is a predicted model, not a curated record. Lineage: Eukaryota; Metazoa; Chordata; Mammalia; Rodentia; Sciuridae.
AGCUGUUUACAUAUUUGACCACGAGGCACCUGCAGCUUUGGAGUGCCCUGCGUCCAAACCUCCCCUCUUCCUCCAGGGCUCAGUCACAGAUAUUAAUCAUCUUUCUGAAGUACAAUCUCCAUGGCCUGAACUUUUUUUGAAAAUCAUUUUGAGCAAAGUAUUUGUUUAAUAACAAGAUAACCACAUCAAGAUGGUUGGAAAACUGAAGCAGAAUUUACUAUUGGCGUGCCUGGUGAUCAGUUCUGUGACAGUAUUUUACUUGGGCCAGCAUGCCAUGGAAUGCCACCACCGAAUAGAGGAACGUAGCCAGCCAGCCAAAUUGGAGAGCACAAAAGCCACCAUGCGAACCAGCCUGGACCCUAAAGCCAAUAAAACCUUUGCCUAUCACAAAGAUAUGCCUUUGAUAUUCAUUGGUGGUGUGCCUCGGAGUGGGACCACACUCAUGAGGGCCAUGCUGGACGCACACCCUGACAUUCGCUGUGGAGAGGAGACCAGGGUCAUUCCUCGGAUCCUGGCCCUGAAGCAGAUGUGGUCACGUUCCAGUAAAGAGAAGAUCCGCUUGGACGAGGCUGGUGUCACUGAUGAAGUGCUGGACUCUGCCAUGCAAGCCUUCUUACUAGAAAUCAUCGUGAAGCAUGGGGAGCCAGCCCCGUACUUAUGUAACAAAGAUCCCUUUGCCCUGAAAUCCUUAACUUACCUUGCCAGGUUGUUCCCCAAUGCCAAAUUUCUCCUGAUGGUUCGAGAUGGCCGGGCAUCAGUGCAUUCAAUGAUUUCUCGGAAAGUUACUAUAGCUGGGUUUGACCUGAACAGCUACAGGGACUGUUUGGCCAAAUGGAAUCGUGCCAUAGAGACGAUGUACAACCAGUGCAUGGAGGUCGGUUACAAAAAGUGCAUGUUGGUCCACUACGAGCAGCUCGUCCUCCAUCCUGAGCGGUGGAUGAGGACCCUGUUGAAGUUUCUCCAUGUCCCAUGGAACUACUCAGUGCUACACCAUGAGGAGAUGAUCGGGAAGGCCGGGGGAGUGUCGCUGUCAAAAGUGGAGAGAUCUACAGACCAAGUCAUCAAGCCAGUCAAUGUGGGAGCUCUGUCAAAAUGGGUGGGGAAGAUCCCUCCAGAUGUCUUACAAGAUAUGGCAGCGAUUGCACCCAUGCUUGCCAAAUUGGGGUAUGACCCUUAUGCCAACCCACCCAACUACGGGAAGCCGGACCCCCGGAUCCUCGAGAACACCAGAAGGGUCUAAAAGCAGUGGAGCCAGCUGACCCUGGACUACUAAGACUUCUGAAACCACGAGCAGAACAGGUCCUUCCUCCUCCAUGUGGAUUUUCUCAGGUCUACAAAGGAGAAUUCCAGCUACCUGACUUUCUGAAGGAAAAACCCCAGACGGAGCCUAUGGAGUAGCAGGGCCUGGAACCUCCUUCACACCUCGAGGGAGCUGCGGAGCCCAGCGGAGCCCAGACGGCUGGCCAUCUCCUGUGCACUCCAGCCCCUCCUGCCAAGGACGGGUGUCCGCUCCUAUGAUAAGGAGCCAGGGGACAGUGCCCUCAGUUAGCCCUACUCUUGUCCUCAUCUUUUCUUAACAAAUUCCAAACUUCGAUUUCAAGGGGAGGGUUUAAAAAUGGUAUUCUGUAAGCAAAAUGGGCAUUUUCAUUUUGGGAUAGGUUAUCUGUACUUGGUCCAAUGUUUCGUAGAACACUUGUGCCUGUUAAAUGUAUUGAUGUGGAUAAUAUUAAAUAUCUUAAUUAUUUAAGUAAUUCAUUGUAUUGUUUCUGAGAAGUUGGGAAAUUACCGUAUACAUUUACAACUUAAUGACUUUUGUAUUUUAUUUUUCAAAAUAAAAGCUUUGAAUGUGGAGCA